GACGAACGCUGGCGGCGCGCCUUACACAUGCAAGUCGAACGAGAGAUGAGGAGCUUGCUCUUCAAAUCGAGUGGCGAACGGGUGAGUAACGCGUGAGGAACCUGCCUCAAAGAGGGGGACAACAGUUGGAAACGACUGCUAAUACCGCAUAAGCCCACGGCUCGGCAUCGAGCAGGGGGAAAAGGAGCAAUCCGCUUUGAGAUGGCCUCGCGUCCGAUUAGCUAGUUGGUGAGGUAACGGCCCACCAAGGCGACGAUCGGUAGCCGGACUGAGAGGUUGAACGGCCACAUUGGGACUGAGACACGGCCCAGACUCCUACGGGAGGCAGCAGUGGGGAAUAUUGCACAAUGGGGGUAACCCUGAUGCAGCGACGCCGCGUGGAGGAAGAAGGUCUUCGGAUUGUAAACUCCUGUUGUUGAGGAAGAUAAUGACGGUACUCAACAAGGAAGUGACGGCUAACUACGUGCCAGCAGCCGCGGUAAAACGUAGGUCACAAGCGUUGUCCGGAAUUACUGGGUGUAAAGGGAGCGCAGGCGGGAGAACAAGUUGGAAGUGAAAUCCAUGGGCUCAACCCAUGAACUGCUUUCAAAACUGUUUUUCUUGAGUAGUGCAGAGGUAGGCGGAAUUCCCGGUGUAGCGGUGGAAUGCGUAGAUAUCGGGAGGAACACCAGUGGCGAAGGCGGCCUACUGGGCACCAACUGACGCUGAGGCUCGA
Molecule: ribosomal RNA, 715 nt
Filed under: uncultured Lachnospiraceae bacterium
Lineage: Bacteria; Bacillati; Bacillota; Clostridia; Lachnospirales; Lachnospiraceae
Description: bacterial SSU rRNA
Rfam family: Bacterial small subunit ribosomal RNA
Source: RNAcentral